Mya arenaria is the source of this 1980-nucleotide long non-coding RNA. RefSeq lists it as uncharacterized. The transcript has 3 exons. NCBI's taxonomy places the organism in Eukaryota, Metazoa, Mollusca, Bivalvia, Myida, Myidae. The record is from RefSeq and is a predicted model, not a curated record.
UUCAAAUUUAUAAUUAACGUAUUUAAAGUGAUACUCUUAUUCUCAAUCGGUACUUACACAUGUAUAACAAAUAUAAGUUUUGAGUGAUCAACCUAAAUCUACUUACUAGAUAAUGCAUUUAUGAAAAAUACUUUUAUAACUAGAUUGUAGCCUUGUAUUUUAUAGCGGAAAACACAAAAAUAUUAAAUGAUUGGGGUGAGCGAUCUUCUAUCGUCUAAUAAGAAAGCGUUUCCGUUCCACUGAGAGCUCCAAGUUUUAGCCUCAAAGUCAGUGCUACAGUGUAUCUCUUCCUGUUUGCCGACGGCUGUGUGGAGGAGUUGCUGCCCCUGCCCCGCUUUCUCCCAGUGCCUGGAGUAGACAGAACCUAUACAAGUUCUUCCGAUUCGCCAUCAAAGACGAAAGCCAGAAAGUUAGCGUAUAUCUCUUCCGCGCCCUCGUCGGAAACAUAUACACCUGUUGGAUCCCUCGGAUCAUAGAAGGAUUUAUUUAACUUGUUUUCAUGAUAAACGAGUUCGUCGUUGUCUAGAUAGUGAACGUUAUUUUUGGACUGACACAGUCUAAGAAUUUUCGUGUUAAUCAGUUUAGCAGCAGAGUUCAUACUUUUCACAAGAGGAUUAGUGCCUUUGCGCGGCAAAAUACUUGAAAACGCUACCGGGACGCCCGGCCACGUUUCGGCGACGGUGAUCAAUGCGUUGUUAGUGUCUGCGAUGAUAUCUUCGCUGCUUCUGUUGCGCAUGUCAUUCGUGCCGAGGUGGAUGACUACCGAUGCCACAGCCUCAUUGUCUCCAAAUUUCAAAUUGGAAAGCAAGCCCUCUACAAACGUAAUUGAUUCACCAGCCAAAGAAACGUUCCUUAUAUCUGAAUCCUUCACGUGUAUUCGAGCGCAAUUGGAGCCGCCGAGAAUAAUGUGCACUUUAGAUUUACCCGCCCUAAUGGGUUGUGACGUCACUUCCGUCGCUCGCCGGACUGGGGAUAUCCAAUGUUUCACGGACGCUGUUUGGGACCACCGUAGAAUCGUCUUCACUGCUGUUUAACCCAUCACUCACGUUGAGGGAGCGCUGGCCUUCCAUUUUCUCAGCCGCAUAGUUGCCUUACUUUUCCAUAGGACAUUCUGCCUGUGUGUGCCCUUCCUCCUUACAGUAGUGACAAAUAACGUCGUAAAGACAGUCUUUGCGCAGAUGGUCGUUUUCUUUGCAGUUAAAACAUGCUUUUAUACUCAUAAGCCGCACUGCCUCUGAGUAUGAUUGCCUCGGUCGUUGAAACCUGUCCGGGCACUUGAAAUACGGGUGGUCAGUUUUCUGACAUAUUUUACACCUUCUGCGGUUAUUGUCCGCAAAUAGUUUGAUUUUGAAUUUCCCUAUUUCAAUGCUUGGAGCAAGAAUUGGAAUACAGUUCAGUAUUUUAACGCACCUUGUACCAUUGGAGAUGUUUGUUUGUUUGUUUUUUAAUUUUACCUCUUACUAGGCUUCCAUCGAUAACAUCACCAAACUGAUUAAUAGUGGUGGCUAUGGUGGUAUACUGCAUUUCGUAGGGGCAUCCUUCAAAGUAAUAUUUGUUAUAACACUGUCCGAAUCUGAAAGCCUAACAUGUCUUUCUUGUAAACUCAGUCCUGAUAUAAGUGAAGACACUUUUGUCUCCUCGUUAUUCACCGUUAUUAUGCAACUGCGUUCGGUUAUUUGAAUCGCCUGAAUAGAUUUUUCAUCGAUUGUGUGUUUUAAUGACUUGAGCACUUCUUCGUGUGACAGUUUUUUAAGACCUCGAGUGUUUAAUUCAACUGAGAAUGGUCUAGUUAAUAGAUCCGCCAUCUUGGAUUAGGAAAAAGGGGCAGGUUGGGAAAAAAAGGCCAUUUCAAAAGUUCAUUUCCAAACCCUUACUCUCCGUCUCUUUCUCUCCUCUCCUCCCCGGUGGGUCUACAACGGUCUAGAAAUGUUUUCCAGGUACCAAACGUCUGUGAUAACUACUAUAUUACCUCUUCAGUCA